This 1381-nucleotide ribosomal RNA is filed under the name uncultured bacterium. RNAcentral describes it as "bacterial SSU rRNA". It matches the Rfam family "Bacterial small subunit ribosomal RNA", at positions 18 to 1394 of the family's 1533-position model. The record is from RNAcentral.
CCUGGCUCAGGAUGAACGCUAGCUACAGGCUUAACACAUGCAAGUCGAGGGGCAGCAUGGUCUUAGCUUGCUAAGGCCGAUGGCGACCGGCGCACGGGUGAGUAACACGUAUCCAACCUGCCGUCUACUCUUGGACAGCCUUCUGAAAGGAAGAUUAAUACAAGAUGGCAUCAUGAGUCCGCAUGUUCACAUGAUUAAAGGUAUUCCGGUAGACGAUGGGGAUGCGUUCCAUUAGAUAGUAGGCGGGGUAACGGCCCACCUAGUCUUCGAUGGAUAGGGGUUCUGAGAGGAAGGUCCCCCACAUUGGAACUGAGACACGGUCCAAACUCCUACGGGAGGCAGCAGUGAGGAAUAUUGGUCAAUGGGCGAGAGCCUGAACCAGCCAAGUAGCGUGAAGGAUGACUGCCCUAUGGGUUGUAAACUUCUUUUAUAAAGGAAUAAAGUCGGGUAUGGAUACCCGUUUGCAUGUACUUUAUGAAUAAGGAUCGGCUAACUCCGUGCCAGCAGCCGCGGUAAUACGGAGGAUCCGAGCGUUAUCCGGAUUUAUUGGGUUUAAAGGGAGCGUAGAUGGAUGUUUAAGUCAGUUGUGAAAGUUUGCGGCUCAACCGUAAAAUUGCAGUUGAUACUGGAUAUCUUGAGUGCAGUUGAGGCAGGCGGAAUUCGUGGUGUAGCGGUGAAAUGCUUAGAUAUCACGAAGAACUCCGAUUGCGAAGGCAGCCUGCUAAGCUGCAACUGACAUUGAGGCUCGAAAGUGUGGGUAUCAAACAGGAUUAGAUACCCUGGUAGUCCACACGGUAAACGAUGAAUACUCGCUGUUUGCGAUAUACUGCAAGCGGCCAAGCGAAAGCGUUAAGUAUUCCACCUGGGGAGUACGCCGGCAACGGUGAAACUCAAAGGAAUUGACGGGGGCCCGCACAAGCGGAGGAACAUGUGGUUUAAUUCGAUGAUACGCGAGGAACCUUACCCGGGCUUAAAUUGCAGAUGAAUUACGGUGAAAGCCGUAAGCCGCAAGGCAUCUGUGAAGGUGCUGCAUGGUUGUCGUCAGCUCGUGCCGUGAGGUGUCGGCUUAAGUGCCAUAACGAGCGCAACCCUUGUUGUCAGUUACUAACAGGUUCCGCUGAGGACUCUGACAAGACUGCCAUCGUAAGAUGUGAGGAAGGUGGGGAUGACGUCAAAUCAGCACGGCCCUUACGUCCGGGGCUACACACGUGUUACAAAGGGGGGUACAGAGGGCCGCUACCACGCGAGUGGAUGCCAAUCCCCAAAACCUCUCUCAGUUCGGACUGGAGUCUGCAACCCGACUCCACGAAGCUGGAUUCGCUAGUAAUCGCGCAUCAGCCACGGCGCGGUGAAUACGUUCCCGGGCCUUGCACACACCGCC